AUUGAACGCUGGCGGCAGGCUUAACACAUGCAAGUCGAACGGUAACAGGAGAAAGCUUGCUUUCUUGCUGACGAGUGGCGGACGGGUGAGUAAUGCUUGGGAAUCUGGCUUAUGGAGGGGGAUAACGACGGGAAACUGUCGCUAAUACCGCGUAGAGUCGAGAGACGAAAGUGCGGGACCGCAAGGCCGCAUGCCAUAGGAUGAGCCCAAGUGGGAUUAGGUAGUUGGUGGGGUAAUGGCCUACCAAGCCGACGAUCUCUAGCUGGUCUGAGAGGAUGACCAGCCACACCGGGACUGAGACACGGCCCGGACUCCUACGGGAGGCAGCAGUGGGGAAUAUUGCGCAAUGGGGGCAACCCUGACGCAGCCAUGCCGCGUGAAUGAAGAAGGCCUUCGGGUUGUAAAGUUCUUUCGGUGACGAGGAAGGCGUGAUGUUUAAUAGGCAUCACGAUUGACGUUAAUCACAGAAGAAGCACCGGCUAACUCCGUGCCAGCAGCCGCGGUAAUACGGAGGGUGCGAGCGUUAAUCGGAAUAACUGGGCGUAAAGGGCACGCAGGCGGCUAUUUAAGUGAGGUGUGAAAUCCCCGGGCUUAACCUGGGAAUUGCAUUUCAGACUGGGUAGCUAGAGUACUUUAGGGAGGGGUAGAAUUCCACGUGUAGCGGUGAAAUGCGUAGAGAUGUGGAGGAAUACCGAAGGCGAAGGCAGCCCCUUGGGAAUGUACUGACGCUCAUGUGCGAAAGCGUGGGGAGCAAACAGG
RNAcentral lists this ribosomal RNA (759 nucleotides) under Aggregatibacter segnis. RNAcentral describes it as "bacterial SSU rRNA". It matches the Rfam family "Bacterial small subunit ribosomal RNA", at positions 28 to 776 of the family's 1533-position model. Lineage: Bacteria; Pseudomonadati; Pseudomonadota; Gammaproteobacteria; Pasteurellales; Pasteurellaceae. The record is from RNAcentral.